CGAGGAGUGCCUCGGGUCAUGUCUACAUAGUUCUCGAACCCGCAGGGUCUACACACUUAAGGUUCGAUGAUGUUUAAUUAUAGUUGAGUUAUAUGUGUGGUUACCGAAUCUUGUUCAGAGUCCCGGAUGAGAUCACGGACGUCACGAGGGUUUCCGGAAUGGUCCGGAAACGGGUAUUGAUAUAUAGGAUGGUUUCAUUUGGUCACCGGAAAGUUUUGGGCAAUUCCGGCAGUGUACCGGGAGUGACGAAUGGGUUCCGGUUGUUUACCGGGAGGGGCCCACCCACCCGGGAGUGAGCCCAAGGCCCUAGGGUGGCGCCACAAGUCCUUAGAGGGCUGGUGGAGUCAUCCCAAGAGGGCUAUGGCGCCACAUAAAGAAAAUACCAAAAGAAAAGAAAAAGAAAAAGGAAAGAGGGAGGUGGGAAGGAAGAGGAAGCCUCCUCCUUCCCAAACCGAAUUGGAGGAGGAAUCCUCCUCCUCCUAGCGGCCGGUGCACCUUGAGGGACUUGUCCCUCAAGGCUAGCCCCUCCCCCUCCCUCCUAUAUAUAGUGGUGGUUUAGGGCUUUUUGAGACACAACUUUGCCACGUGCAACUCUAGCCUAUACCGCAUAGUUUUACCUCUAGAUAGGAUUUCUGCGGAGCUCGGGCGGAGCCCUGCAGGAGUACAUCAUCACCACCACCGGAGCGCCGUCAUGCUGCCGGGGAACUCAUCUACUUCUCCGUCUUGCUUGCUGGAUCAAGAAGGCCAAGAUUAUUGUCGAGCUGUACGUGUGCUGAAUGCGGAGUUGUCGUCCAUUCGGCGCUAGAUCGGAACGGAUCGUGGGACGGAUCGCGGGAUGGUUCGUGGGAUGGUUCGAGGGAUGUGAAGACGUUCCACUACAUCAACCGCGUUUCUUAACGCUUCCCAGUGUGCGAUCUACAAGGGUACAUAGAUCUAAUCUCCACUCGUAGAUGGACAUCACCAUGAUAGGUCUUCGUGUGCGUAGGAAAUUUUUUGUUUCCCAUGCAACGCUCCCCAACAAAUACAGGAUGCCACAGUGACUCCUUCCGCUGCCAAUGAUUCAUUGCACUCUCAUAUUUGGAGUAGCUUAUCAAUAGUCCGUCUGAACCCUUUGGGAGUGGACCCAUGUUCGGGACUCCGUUGUCAGCCAACACUCUUGGGUUCGGUUGACUGCCCAAUGCCAUGUGGUCGUCCUCGGGCAAGGAAGGCUGUGCGCAUCUCCUGAUUCGAUCGGCCAAGGUCCUUAAAACGUGCAGGACGAAAGUUGCUACGGUAAGGUUUAAAAAUCGGUUUGUAUACCUUUUUGCCGAAGGGGCAACUGGUGUGGUUUCUUUCGCUACCUAUUGCUCAGGAAUUCCGCCCUUGCUUGACAAACCCCUACCGGUUUAGUAUGAAUAGUGGUCCGGCAUGCGCUCCGGCGACCCCUAGGCACGGCCCCUCGUCGGGCAACAGUUUUUCUCUUACUCCCUGAAGAGGGAAAGGACCUGGGUUUGUUGGCUAUAAGGGCCACCUUCUUCUCUUCAACACUCUCUUGAUAAAACACCUCGUCUUGAAAGAUAAUCGAAAGCUCUGGGUCUUCAUGAAACCGGGAGUCAUCUUUAUGGGCAAAGUCCUCGAGUUGGGGUGUGGGAUAGUUUACCAUCUCGAUCCAGUGGUUCCAGAGCUACGAAGGAGGUAUAGGAGUUAUAAAUCAAACAAUAAUGGGCAUGAAUGCCCAAAACUUUGAACAUGAACACAAUUACCCAUUCGACGGGGUUAUAUGCCGAAUAGCCAUCCUUCGGGGUGAGGCGGGUAAAAUCUUCUUUUUCCCCCUUGAAGAUAUCGGUCAGAAUGGCCCCUAAGGCCUUCUCGUCAUCCGGUCCUUGCCUUCUGGAUCGGGUUGAAUCGCUCGUCCCACUGUAAUGCCACAAAGGAUGUGUGCGAUGUUGGAGUGGUUGGACGCACUGGGUAAUCACUGCGGCCAUCACAUCAAUGAUAGUUAGCCAGCUAUGAGUAAGCACCCUGGCCUUGGAGGAUAGGCGCUUCACUUCAGAGCUGUCCUCGUGGGAAGAGCUCUUUGGCCCCCAGCUGAAUCGCUUCUUUAAAGGAAUCACAAAGUAUUCGGGAAGGCCUCUCCGAACUGGGUCAGAUAGUGGAACAUCCACAAUAUAAAACCAUUCCGAGGGCCACUCGUCAAGCUCCUUCUUCGACAUCCCAAUCGGGUAUCCUAUGGCGGCUAUGUGCCAUACUUCGGCUCCACCUACUUCCCGAAUUGUCAUUCCUCUAGUUCGGAGAAUGAUGGAGAAGUACUUUCUCCAUAGAUCAAAGUGGGGCUCGCAACCCAAGAACAUCUCGCAUAAGGCCACGAAGCCUUAGAUAUGAAGGAUGGAACUAUGGGUGAGAUUGUGGAGCUACAACCCGUAAAACUCCAAUAACCCCCUUAGGAAAGGGUGAAUAUGGAAUACCACCCCUCACAACAGGAAGGAAACGAAGCAAACCCGUUCUCCCCUUUGCGGGGAAGGGAAGUUUUCCGCGAAGGCUUUUCCAUCAAUGGAGGUCAGACCGGUGUGAGUGGGUGCGAGGUCUGAUUGGGGAAGAUACCCCUGAGUUUUGAGCUCGUGCGGGCGGAUGAGAGAAACGGUGCAACUAGCCUAGUCCCCCGAAAGGGGGCCGAGGGGGCUUGAAGAGGAACAUUCCAUGACUCCGGAGAUGUUAAGAGCUCUAGGGUUUCUUCGCGAGGCUGGGAGGCGAUGGAGCCUCAAAACAGAUCUCGAUCUGUUUACAAAGGGUGUUAACCCCUCUUGUUAUAGGGAUUCAUCAUUUCUUGCUCGGAGGAUACAGAGGAACAUGCCUUGCAUACUGAACACUUUGGGCGUGAUCAUCCGAAGACCCUACACAUUAGCAUGGAAGGCUACUUCAGGGGCUACUAAGAGAGUCCGGGAUUAAGGGGUCCUCAGGUAGUUGGCUUACUAUGAAGAGGUUAGCCUGAUGGACCGUACAAGUUGGAGGUUGGGUGUCUCGUGCUUAAGGAGGAAAGCACCGAAGACCGGCAUGACAUCCAAGUAAUGUAGAUUAGGUCGAUUGUAUGUAACCCUAGGUCCCGGAUACGUCUCCGUCAUAUCUACUUUUCUGAACUCUUUUGCCCUUGUUUUGGACUCUAAUUUGCAUGAUUUGAAUGGAACUAACCCGGACUAACGCUGUUUUCAGGAGAAUUACCAUGGUGUUGUUUUUUUGCAGAAAUAAAAGUUCUCGGAGUGUUGUGAAAAUUUACGGAGAAUUUUUCUGGAAUUAAUGAAAAAUACCUGCGCAAAGAUCCACCGGAGGAGGUGAGCCAGUGGGCCACAAGCCCAGGGGGCGCGGCCACCCCCCCAGGCCGCACCAACCAGGCUUGUGGGGUCCACGAGGCUCCACCACCUCCAAACUCAGCUCUAUUUAUUCCGUUUCACCCGGAAAAAAUCAGAGAGAAGGAUUCAUCGCAUUUUACGAUACGAAGGUGCCGCCACCUCCUGUUCUUCAUCUGGAGGGCAGAUCUGGGUUCCGUUCUGGGCUCCAGAGAGGGGAAAUCGUCGCCAUCGUCAUCAUCAACCUUCCUGCAUCACCAAUUCCAUGAUGCUCUUCACCGUUCGUGAGUAAUCUCAUUGUAGGCUUGCUGGACGGUGAUGAGUUGGAUGAGAUCUAUCAUGUAAUCGAGUUAGUUUUGACGGGGAUUGAUCCCUAGUAUCCACUAUGUUCUGAGAUUGAUGUUGCUACUACUUUGCCAUGCUUAAUGCUUGUCACUAGGGACCGAGUGCCAUGAUUUCAGAUCUGAACCUAUUACGUUGUCGCCAAUAUAUGUGUGUUUUAGAUCCUAUCUUGCAAGUUGUAGUCACCUACUAUGUGUUAUGACCCGGCAACCCCGGAGUGACAAUAGCCGGAACCACUCCCGGAGAUGACCAUAGUAUGAGGAGUUCAUGUAUUCACCAAGUGUUAAUGCGUUGGUCCGGUUCUUUAUUAAAAGGAGAACCUUAAUAUCCUGUAGUUUUCAUUAGGACCCCGCUGCCACGGGACGGAUGGACAAUAGAUGUCAUGCACGUUCUUUUCCCUAAGCAUGUAUGACUACAUAUGGAAUACAUACCUACAUUAGAUUGACAAAUGGGAGCUAGUUACAUAUCUCUCCGGGUUAUAGUUGUUACAUGAUGAAUCACAUCCGGCAUAAUCAUCCAUCACCGAUCCAGUGCCUACGAGUCUUUUACUACUAGUCCUUUCUACGUUACAUUGUCGCUACUACUGUUGCUGCUGCUGUUGUUACUCUGUUGCUACUGCUGUUACUCUACUGCUAUUGGUUACUGGUGUUACUUGCUACUGUUGUCACUACUGUUGUUACUUGUUACUUUGCUGCUACCUGCUGCAAGACUUUUCUGGCGCCAUUGAUACAACAAGUCAGGAAUAGCCUGCCGUCAACACACCUUUUUCUGGCACCGUUGCUAACGUACCACUUUGCUACUGAUACUUUGCUUGCAGACACUAAUCUUUCAGGUGUGGUUCAAUUGACAACUCAACUGCUAAUACUUGAGAAUAUUCUUUGGCUUCCCCUUGUGUCGAAUCAAUAAAUUUGGGUUGAAUACUCUACCCUCGAAAACUAUUGCGAUCCCCUACACUUGUGGGUUAUCAAGACUAUUUUCUGGCGCCGUUGCCGGGGAAGCACAACUAUAUUCUCUGACUCACUUGGAAUUUACGUCUGCUGAUCACUAUGAGGAAUCCGAUAGAUCCAAGAACUAAAGUCUUGCCCUCAACUACGAGGACAGGUAAGGAACUGCCAUCUAGCUCUGCACUUGAUUCAUCUUCAGUUAUGAGUAAGUUUGCAACAUCACCUCCUGCUAGAAAUCUUGAUAUGUCGCCUGUGCUUGAUGAUGCUACUUCUGCUUCCCAUGAUGCUUAUGAUGAUGCUAUGCUUGAUACUAUGCCUGAUGAUGCUAUGCUUGAUACUAUGCCUGAUGAUGCUAUGCUUGAUACUAUGCCUGAUGAUGCUAUGCUUACUACUUUGCCUGAUGAUGCUAUGCCUGAUACUGCUUUGCCACUAGGUGCAUUCCUUGAUGCACAAAUUGCUAGAGUUGCUUCUAGAUGUGAUGAUAUUUCUGAAACUGCUGAUACUAUUGAAGUAGAACCUGCUAUUUUGCCUGCUAGAACUAGCUCUCCUAGACCUGAUAUGCCUGUUAUGCCUGAGCGUUAUGUUAUGGAGGGAGAGAUAGCUGAGGAUUUUCUUGCGUGUAAGGAUAGCUAUGAUGUUGAGAAAUUACUGCGCAAGUGGAAAUAAAAAUGUCUAAACACGAGGAUGAAAUACGACCCGAAGUUUGCCACUUCACCUAUCUUUGUGACCGAUAAGGAUUAUGAAUUCUCUGUUGAUCCUAAGUUAAGCACCCAUGCCCUUUCCUCCCAAACCAUCCAAGAAAAAGGAUGAUGAGGAUUUUGAGCGCUUUGUUGAAAUGAUUAGACCUGUCUUUCUACAAAUGUGUUUGACGAAUAUGCUCACGAUGUCUCUGUAUGCGAAGUACAUGAAAUAUAUUGUGACUAAUAAGAGGAGGAUACCCGAGGUUGAGAUUUCCACCAUGCUCGCUAAUUAUACCUUCAAGGGUGGAACUCCCAAGAAACUAGGUGAUCCCGGUGUGCCCACUAUACCUUGCUCCAUUAAAGGCAACUACGUUAGAACUGCGUUAUGCGACCUUGGAGCCGCUGUUAGUGUUAUGCCUCUCUCUCUUUAUCGUAGACUUGAACUGGAUAAGUUGACACCCACUGAAAAUCUCUGUGCAAAUGACCGACAAAUCAACUGCUUUCCCUAUCGCCAUUUGCGAGGACGUGCCUGUUGUGGUUGCUAACGUCACUAUCUUAUCAGACUUUGUUAUCUUGGAUAUUCCCGAGGACAAUGCCAUGGAAGUCAUCCUUGGAAGACCCUUUUUAAACACCGCACGGGCUGUUAUAGAUUGCAACAAAGGCAAUGUCAUUUUCCAUGUCAACGGUAAUGAGCAUACGGUGCACUUUCCGAAGAAACAAUAUCGAGUACAUUGCAUCAAUGCUAUCGAAAAAACUUCAUCGAUUCUUAUUGGGAGCUUUGAAUGCCCUAUUCCUUGUGUCAAGAUGAAGUAUGAUUCGCUUGUUGGGGAAAUACACAUCGCCAUUGAGGUGACAUAGUGACUAUUCGAAAAUUCUCCGUCUUCUUUUGCGAUUCGAGAAGUUUUGUCGAGGGGAAUUUGAUCAACCCCAUUGACGGAUUUCUUUCGAUGACCAUGAGAUGGAUGAAUCAAGGAGUCACAAACCUCUGUUUUAAGCUUUCAUCUUUGGUUGCUUAGAAGAAAGAUGAUAGAUUUAGUUUAGUUUUCCCUGUUUUCUGUUUUAGCGUCCGGUAGAAAAGUACCGCGAAAAUAAAAGUUCUCCGAACGUCGUGAAAAUCAAGUAUGAUUUUUGCUGGAUUUUUUGAAAAAUACUGAGACGAAGAGCUUGUCUGGGGGCUGCACCAGUGGGCCACAAGCCCAGGGGGCGUGGGCACCCCCUUUCCGCGCCACCCAGGCUUGUGGGGUCCACAGGCACCCCCUCCACUCAUUCUUGCUCUCAUCUGGUUCUCCUACCUCCAGAAAAAAUCGUUUCGCAACUCAAACCUGUGUUCUUGCUCCUCUUGCUGGGAUUUCUGAUUUCUUUGCUGAAAGCACCAUUCUCCGAACUGUUUUGGGGAAAUUACUCCUUGUUAAGUGACUCCUCCAUUGGUCCAAUUAGUCUUUGCUCUAGUGCCUCAUACUUCGCGUAUUUUUGCUGCCUUGAUGACCAUGUUCUUGAGCUUUGCAUGCUAAUUUUAGAUGGUCCCAAGUAGUUUUGAUGCGUAAUAUGGCCUCUAGGCACUUGUGGGGGUAGUUGCUACGAGUUUUGUUGAGCCUUGUUCACUUUUCCUUAGAGUCACUAAAAAUUUCAGAAAUUUUCAGAGAUAGAAAAGGGAAAAUAUGAGGAGGUUCUGAAGAGGCUCUUCAAGCCGUGACCCCAAGGAUGAUGGGAGUGAGAAGAAGCCCAAUUAUCUGGUCCGUCGAGUCCUGGAAGUUCGAGCGUGCGAGUGGCCAAGCGACGUGUUCUUACGCGCCGCCGGAAUUUAUGAGGACUUUUAUCACUCGGUGGAGAACGCAGGCCUUACCGCCUUCGUUGAAGAUAAGUGUCUGCAAUACCUCCUCCUCACUAAUAUCUUCGUACAAAGCUUUAACUUCUAUCCAAGGAAGAAUCCUCCUAUGGUUGUGUUCAAACUUUAUGAUAUCCCCCAGGGCAUGUCACUCCAGGAUUUUUGCAAUGUUUGCAAAUUACCUUACGUUGGGGAUAUUCGUGAAUCUCGUGCACGGGACUUAGAAUCUUUCAUCGAUACAAUUGCCGUAGGAGAGGAGAGAGGAGUGUCUUGUGCUAGAGCUGCUAGCAUUCAUUUUCCCGUGCUUCGGUACUUCUCAUUAUUUGUGGGAAAAUGUUUGAUUGGCCGUGGGAAAGCUGGGUCACUUAGUUCCCCAGAUCUUAAGGUCUUGCGCGAAGCACUUUAUAAUGAUAAAACUUAUAGCUUGGGCGCUAUAGUAGCUCAAUGGUUGAACACGAACCGUUAUAAAGGCAUUGUCUAUGGAGGUAUCUAUGCUACUCGUCUUGCCGGACACUUUGAGAUACCUAUUAGACUGGACGAGGAAGAAGAGAUUCUUCUUCCCAAAAAAUAUCUAGAUUAAGAUAGCAUGGUUCGCCAUGACUUUCUUUAUAGAGAUAUAAAUAGAAGGAUGAUUUAUAACCUGGUAUUUAGCCAGGGUACUCGUGAGACUAUUACUUUGCCUGCUCCUUCUUUGUUCAAUCUUCAUGCAGGGAGGUACAUUAUUAUGCCCUCGGACAUCACCGCAUAUUGGGGCUUGGCCCAACCAUAGGUGCCCAUGCCCGAGCCACCAGUCGAGUACCAGAUGCCAGUUUAUCAGUGGGAGCCACAGGAGCUCACACAGCAGUGGCAUCGUCAGUCCACUCUGGAGUACCCCGGAGCUGGUUAUUUCCCUCCUUGGGAGUAUACCAACUUAGGCCAAAAGUGUAAGCUUGGGGGAGUACGUGUUUCUCACCGACUUUACAUUCUUGCUUAUGCUUUCACUUUGUUCGUUGGUGUUCACACUUUGCCACUGUAUCAUCCAUGCUAGUUUAUUUUCUUUUUCUCAUUUUCUUUUCGUGUGUUUGCCUAGUUUGAGAAAACCCAAAAAGAUUUUCUUUUUCUUCUUUUGCUUGUUGGGAGCUUUCUCGUGUAAAUAGUUUUCUUUUCUUUGGGUCAAGGUAGAAGACCAUGGUUACAAUGUUUAGUGGCUCUUGCAUGCAUACCUGUUUUGCUUUCAAAGAGCCAUAUUACUUUGUCUUCUCCUUUGUGUUUUCCUACAGGUUCCAGCUUUAGUCCAAUGCACGAGCACUCUUAUUAUUGUUUUUAUCGUUCGAUCGUACAAGUGAAAGGCAAUAAUGACGAUAUAUGAUGAAGUGACUGAGCCUGGAAAAGCUGGUAUGAACUCGAUCUAUUUUGUUCUUGUAAAUAUGACUAGCUCAUUGUUCCUAGUUCAACUUUGUUGUGAGAGAAACAUGUUUGCAAUGACAACUUAGAGAUCAUAGUUGCUGAUGCCAUGCUUACUUAGCUAGGAGCUUAUAAUGGUCUGUCUUGGUUGGCAACAUGAAUGUUGAGAUGACUAUGAUGUAGUAUGAUAGGAUGGUAUCCUCCUUUGAAUGAUUCAAGCGGCUUGACUUGGCGCAUGUUCACACAUGUAGUUGAAACAAAAUCAACAUAGCCUCUAUGAUAUUCAUGUUCAUGGUGAUUUAUGUCCUACUCAUGCUUGCACUCAAUGUUAGUUUAUCUCAAUGCAUUUUGAGGACCGUUGUCGCUCUCUAGUUGGUCGCUUCCCAAUCUUUUGCUUGCCUUCACUUGUACUAAGCGAGAAUACUGCUUGUGCAUCCAUUUCCAUAACCCCAAACUUGUUCCAGAUGAGUCCACCAUACCUACCUAUGUGCGGUAUCUACCUAUCGUUCCAACUAAAUUUGCAUGUGCCACUCUCUAAAUCUUCAAGAAAUAAUCUAUUUUGCAUGCCCUAACCGCUCAUGUAGUGACAGGGGGCUAUUAGUAUCUUCCAUGCUAGGCGUGUUAUCCUCGAUAUGUGUUUAUUCACUAUCAUUCAUGAGAAAGGGGCCGGUAAUUGGAAUUCCCAGUUCCAUGCUCAAAUCGAAAAGAUAAUUGCAAACAAAACUCCCCCAGGAUUGAUGUUGGUAUGGAUGGUACCCGAGGAUUCGGCUAGCCAUGGAGUGUGAUUGAUUGGUGGUGGGGGAGUCAAAACUUUACUUUUUUGUUUGGGAACCGCCUAUAGCAUGUGUAGCGUGGAAGAUGUUGAGAACUCUUAGUCAUUGCGUCGACAAUGAAAGCAUGCCACCGAAAAUUAUUAUCUCUGUUUUCAAAGCUUGAGCUCUGGCACCUUUGCAAAUCAAUGCUUCCCUCUGUGAAGGGCCUGUCUAUUUAUGUUCCUGUUGAGUCAUCCUCCUCUUAUAAAAGCUCCAAUUAGAGAGCACCUCUGUCAUUUUUAUGCUUUUGUUUUAACUAUGUUGGGUAUGACUGUGACUGGAUCUUCUUUGCCAUGAAUUACAAUGUUUAGUCAGCCCUUGGUCUUUGAAGGUGCUCUGCAUUUAUGUUUUGCGGUCUCAGAAAGAGCUAGCGAGAUACCAUCUGUUUGCACUGAUUCAUGUUGUUUUGAUUGAAGUGUUGACAUUUGAGGCUUAUUAUUAUUUUCUCGCUAGUUGAUUAUGCCAUUGAUAUGAGUCUACCGUGAGACCUAGAUGUCAUUUUCUUAUGUGGUUUGCUUGUGAUCUUGCUGAAACUAUGGAUAUGAGUUAGACAUAGUUGCAGCAACAAGAUCAAACAGAGUUCGUCGAAGUUUUUCUUUUGUCUCUUUCAGUUUGUCAACUGAAUUGCUUGAGGACAAGCAAGGCUUUAAGCUUGGGGGAGUUGAUACGUCUCCGUCGUAUCUACUUUUCCGAACUGUUUUGCCCUUGUUUUGGACUCUAAUUUGCAUGAUUUGAAUGGAACUAACCCGGACUAACGUUGUUUUCAGGAGAAUUGCCAUGGUGUUGUUUUUGUGCAGAAAUAAAAGUUCUCGGAAUGUCCUGAAAAUUUAUGGAGAUUUUUUCUGGAAUUAAUGAAAAAUACCUGCGCAAAGAUCCACCGGAGGAGGUGAGCCAGUGGGUCACAAGCCCAGGUGGCGCGGCCACCCCCCAGGCCGCACCAACUAGGCUUGUGGGGCCGACGAGGCUCCACCGCCUCCAAACUCAGCUCUAUUUAUUCCGUUUCAGCCGGAAAAAAUUAGAGAGAAGGAUUAAUCGCGUUUUACGAUACGGAGGCGCCGCCACCUACUAUUCUUCAUCUGGAGGGCAGAUGUGGAGUUCGUUUUGGGCUCCGGAGAGGGGAAAUCGUCUCCAUUGUCAUCAUCAACCUCCCUCCAUCGCCAAUUCCAAGAUGCUCUUCACCGUUCGUGAGUAAUCUCAUCGUAGGCUUGCUGGACGGUGAUGAGUUGGAUGCGAUCUAUGAUGUAAUCGAGUUAGUUUUGACGGGGAUUGAUCCCUAGUAUCCACUAUGUUCUAAGAUUGAUGUUGCUACUACUUUGCCAUGCUUAAUGCGUGUCACUAGGGCCCGAGUGCCAUGAUUUCAGAUCUGAACCUAUUAUGUUGUCGCCAAUAUAUGUGUGUUUUAGAUCCUAUCUUCCAAGUUGUAGUCACCUACUAUGUGUUAUGACCCGGCAACCCCGGAGUGACAAUAGCCGGAACCACUCCCGGAGAUCACCAUAGUAUGAGGAGUUCAUGUAUUCACCAAGUGUUAAUGCAUUAGUCCGGUUCUUUAUUAAAAGGAGAACCUUAAUAUCCCGUAGUUUCCAUUAGGACCCCGCUGCCACGGGAGAGAUGGGCAAUAGAUGUCAUGCAAGUUCUUUUCCCUAAGCACGUAUGACUAAAUACGGAAUACAUGCCUACAUUAGAUUCACGAACGGGAGCUAGUUACAUAUCUCUCCGUGUUAUGGCUGUUACAUGAUGAAUCACAUCCGGCAUAAUCAUCCAUCAGCGAUCCAAUGCCUACAAGUCUUUUACUACUGGUCCUUGCUACGUUAGUUUGUCGCUACUACUGUUGCUGCUGCUGCUAUUACUGUGUUGCUACUGCUGUUACUCUGGUACUACUCGUUACUGCUGUUACUUGCUACUGUUGUUACUUGUUACUUUGCUGCUACCUUCAGCAAGACUUUUCUGGCGCCAUUGAUACAACAAGUCAGGAAUAGCCUGCCGUCAACAGACCUUUUUCUGGCACCGUUGCUAUCAUACCACUUUGCUACUGAUACUUUGCUUGCAGACACUAAUCUUUCAGGUGUGGUUGAAUUGACAACUCAGCUGCUAAUACUUGAUAAUAUUCUUUCGCUUCCCCUUGUGUUGAAUCAAUAAAUUUGGGUUGAAUACCCUACCCUCGAAAACUGUUGUGAUCCCUACACUUGUGGGUUAUCAGUCCCCUAGUGAUUAUAUAAACCGAGGGUCCUCAUCCAUGUAGACAGGUUGAUUCACCUAGGGUUUAGUAUACAUGAUCUCGAGGUAGACUCUGUAAUCAUCAUCCACAUCGAUAUAAUCAAAAAGGACGUAUGGUUUUACCUCCUCAAGAGGGCCCGUACCUGAGUAAACAUUGUCUCCCCAUCUGUCCUGCAACCCAUCUAUCUAAGAUCCACAGUUCUGGAACCCCUACCCGAGAUCUGCCAGUUUCGAUGCCGACAGCUUGCCCCCUUCAAAAAGUCAUCCACGACCUUGAUGACCAUGGGCAGGAAUGGAACCAAGAUGAGGUCGUUAGACCGUCAUGCCAUUGUGCCUAGACAACGCGUGGAUUCAUCACAUGUUCAUGUACAUGGGGCUCAAAAUGAUGCUAUAGUCGCUAAAAAGCAAGAAAAUUUGUACAUAUGGUAUAAAAUGUCGCUAAUCGACUUUUUUCCCAUCUAUAAAACUUUGUAAUACAAUGUUAACCUCAAAUUAGUAUUUUUAAUCUGUUGAAUUGAGUGUGAGACUAUUAAAUUGAUGAAAAAGAAAACAAAAUAUCUAGAGCUAACAAAUAUGAUGACUAUGUUUUUACAUAUGGUCUCCGUAGGCUCCAAAUGCAUAUGGAAUAUGAUCCAUAUAUAUUGUGAAGGUUGCCCAUAUUACGAUUGGUCUAGACUUGAUCUUAGAGCAUCUCCAACCGGAUUGGGCAAAUAUGCCUUCACAUGUCCACGGACAACAUCUGCUUUCCCUCAUUUGUCCUUGGCCUCAACCGCCCCCUCAUUUCCCCUUCCCAAAUCAAUACAAAUCCAUGCAACGUCGAUCACGCAGGAAUGAAAAUAGUACACACUAGUAGAAAAUGCCCAUUUGUCCCGGUUCCAGAGGCCCAUUAGCCCCGGUUCUUGAACUAGGACUAAAUGGUCAGGACUAAAGCCCAAAACCUUUAGUCCCGGUUCGCUUACGAACGGGGACCGAAUGGUCUCCACGUGGCCGCUACGGCGAGCCCGAGCAGGAGGUUCUCUAGUCCCGGUUGUCCACACCAACCGGGACAACAUGGUAUCCACGCGUCAGCAUCUGCCCGGGCUGCGGUUUUUGUUUUUUUAUCGCGGGGGGGGGGAGGGGGGUUGGAGGGUUAAUUUAGUGGUUUCAUAUUGUGUUAGCUAGCUAAUAGAGAGAAGUGUCCUCUCUUUCUCCAUGCUUGGUCGACGCUAACUACUAUACAUAUAGAGAGAACAUGACGCUAGCUAAUAAGAAAAUGAAGGAAAUGAUUUACAAUACUUAACAUCUUUUACAAUGCCUAACAUCAUCUACCAAAGAUACAAUCACAAAUAUCCCACAUGAUAUUCUCCGUCGCUAGGUAUGACGUGGUCAAGAAGGAAACCCGCCAAUUCCUCUUUAAUUGCUCGUAUGCCAUCAUCUGAUAGGCGUUCAUCCCGCUUCUUCCAGAUCUAAUUUAAAGAAUGGAUCAAUACAUGCAUAUAUAUGAAUAAAACUCAACACAAUUGAAGGUAAUAUAUAAGAUAAAAUUGUGAAUAUUACUUACGUACUUCAAAUUGUUCGUCAGAGAUACCCCGCCCAGAGGUCGAGAGACGAAUGAACUCGCAUACGUAGUAUGCACAUUUUUCAGUCCCAACUACCUGGUACAAGCACUUUACGAGAAUAUAUAGAGUUCAAUCAAACUAAUAAGCAAGCAUGGUAAUGAUAUAUUGAUGAAAAUUUCAAUCAAUUAGAGAUGCGCGGAACUAGCUAGCUAGUACUACUUACUGGGGUGCGUAAACUGCAACUCUUUACCGCGAACCUUAUUCGUGAACUUCUUCCAAAUCCUGCCAGGAAAAUAAAAUGAAUACUUGAUAUCAGGAAAUUAAGGAAAUUUGCAUGCCGGUAUGGUCCCGGUAUUGAGUGAACUUACUUCUUAAGCAUUGCAGUCAUGUCCGCAUAAUCCUCGGACAAUUACUUUUGCCGCGUCAAGCUUAAUGGAUAACAGAAUCCAGUGGUAACUGUGCACACAUAUAUAACUCAUCAAUUACAUUUACUAAUUAACCUCGAGUAAGCGAAACCGAGUAUACAGAGAAGACAACAACACUCACCUGAAGUUGUAAGGAAAGAGUAUUUCCCUUUUGUUUCGAUUUACAAGCAACGAAUUUAACAACUUAACAUCGGUCUCUUUGGUUUCAUUUCGUACCGACAAUACAUUUACCGAUUCUGGGCUAAUGAACCCAACGUCGAAGAUUCCUACUUUUCUUCAUUCGGCGAUCUUCAAUCUGCAUAAUAUAUAUAGUGAGGACAAUUAUAGAUACAUGCAAUGAACGAGCUGAUCUAGAGACUUAACUAUAAAAGUAAUACUUACAAACAGUAGCAAGUCAGGAGUUGUUUGUUGAGGGAUAGGUCAUUGUAUAACUGAAAUAACUCCUCAAAUUCAACAAGCACCACUGUAGCUCCAAUAAAUUUUCUCCUUGAAGAUGUUCAUGUACCACUCAUGCAAUUCGUGCAUCCUCGGUGUUAGAGGAGGAUGACCAGGUUUGACAAGAGGCUUCCCGAGCACGAAUUUAUAUAAUUUUUCUUUUAUUACCUCGUCCAUCUUAAAAAUUACUGAAUCGCUCACGUAAUCACCAGGAUUGGUACCGGGCAGCAACCCCGAAUCAUUAGCGACGACGAUAUCGCUAGACACCUUGAGUGGGGGGCACGAUUGCUUCUUCUGUUGGUCAAGCUGGGGAAUUGUUUUCCCACUUCUUCAUUUUGCUAACAUUGCAUCACUGCUAGCCGCCAGAGCGACGGUGGAGUCUGUCUUCCGCUUGAGAGAAGGAGGAGGAGGCGGCAUCUUUCUUACUUGUAUAACUUUCGGCGGAGCGGCGACGACGUCUGUCUUCUGCUGUUGCAGAGGAGGCGGACUGCUCCGACGCGCCUGAGGAGGAGCCGAAGGAGGAGGACUUCUCCGACGCGCUGGAGGAGGAGCCGAAGAAGGAGGUGGACUGCUCCGACGCGCUGGAGGAGGAGCCGAAGAAGGAGGCGGAGUGCUCCGACGCACCGGAGGAGGAGCCGAAGGAGGAUGACUGCUCCGACGCGCUGGAGGAGGAGCCGAAGAAGGAGGCGGAGUGCUCCGACGCGCCAUAGGAGGAGACAAAGAAGGAGGCGUACUGCUCCGACGUACCGGAGGAGGAGUCGAAGAAGGAGGCGGAGUGCCCUCACGCGCCGGAGGAGGAGCUGAAAAAGAAGGCGGAGUGCCCUCAUGCGUCGGAGGAGCCGGAGUGCCCUGAUCAUUCGCUGGAGGAGGAUGAGGAGUGCCCUGAUCAGUCACCGGAGGAGUAUGAGGAGUGCCCUGAUCACUCGCUGGAGGAGGAGGAGGCGUCCAGUUUGGAAGAUUGAUGCACUCCUUCGGCCAUAAACAUGUACUCCUCAAAGCAUGAACCAGCUUAUUCUCAUCUUCACAUGUAGGGUGGUCAAGCUCGAGCUGCUCAAAAUCCUUCUUUACUUCAUCCACCAUCACAAGAGCAUAACCACGUGGAAUCGGACGGCAGUGAAAAGUUCCGUUGGAUUGAGGACGUGCAACAAUGCCGAUAGCAGCCUUGAAAGUGAGGUUCCGGCAUUUUGUCAAAAGCUCGCAAGGUUGAGACUCCUUGAUAGUAUACACGGGGUAGCUAGGAGCCGUGAAGUCAGACGACCACGCUGCUUCUCCGCUGAGAUGGCGGGAUAAAUUCUGGGGUAGUUUCGUGCCGCUGAGAUGGUUGGUCGACAGCUCGCUGGCUUUGAAGUUCCUCUAGAAUUUGUAGUCUUGCAUUGAUCUUCUGCAUGUCUCUCAGCUCCGCUUUCCUCUUUCUCGCUCGGAUUCUGUAACCGGCUGCGUCGGGAAACCCAACCUUCCACGGAAUAGAGCCUGGUGUGCCUCGUGUUCGUCCAGGGUGCUCAACAUUCUCUAGGGCCUCGGUCAGUUCGUCCUUCUCUCUUUUGAGAAAGAACGCCCCUUCCUACGCUGCGGUGAUACACUGCUGAAUCUUGUUGAUGGGUGUUGCAAGUUGCUCGUCCGUCCAACGACACUCCCCUGUUUCAGGGUCCAAAUUUCCCCCAACUCCGAAGAACCAAUUCCUUGAUCGGUCGGGCCAGUUCCAUGUCUGUGGUUGGACCCCUUUAGCAAUGAGGUCAUUCUCAGCUUUGUCCCACAACGGACGACCUUUGAGGUAGCCACCCAACCCCGUGUGAUGGUGAUACUGCUUCUUUGCAGCAUUGUUCUUGUUUCUCUCUGACAUUUCCUUACUCUAAUCCGAUGACUUGUAGGCCACAAAUGCGGGCCAGUGAUCUCUAAUCUUCUCAAAUCGGCCGACGAAUUCUGGAGUCUUCCCUUGGUCGACAUACUUUGAUUUCAACUCUUUCUUCCACCUCCUGAAUAGUUCUUCCAUCUUCUUAAGAGCACACGCCUUGACCAGUGGCUCUAUAACUGGGUUAUUCGGAUCCUCCUCUGGUGGUAGGGUGAAAUUUUUCCUUCAACGCGGUCCAAAGAUAAUCUUUCAGCCUAUCAGUGACAUAAUGACCUUCAGGGAGGUUGUCGCCCUUAGGCUUAUUCCAUUGCUUGAUGCUUAUCGGGAUGUUUUCCCUGACAAUAGCUCCGCACUGAGUAGAAAAUGCGUCCCUGGUCUGCUUGGGUUCAAUCGGUUGGCCAUCGUUCGACAGUUCUGUGAUCGUGAACUUUUGAUCCUUGCCCAACCUUCUCGUCGGGCCUCGUCUCGUUACCGAAGUUUGGCCCGAUCCGGACUUUUCAAUAGCUCCCUCCUCCGUUCGGUCACCGGAGCCGUCAUCAUGGUCUCCUUCCUCCAGGAUUCGGUAGUAACCGAAGCCAUCAUGAUAAUGUCCUUCCUCCUCCAUUGUUCGAUCACCGAAGCCAUCAUGAUAAUGUCCUUCCUCCAGGAUUCGGUAGUCACCGAUGUCGCUGACCAAAAGUUCGACAUUACUACCGUCGCCGUGGAUUAUAUCCCCCAAAAUUUCUUCUUUUUCCAUGUCUCUUUGGAAUAUCCAUUGUUUCUGGAAAUAUUACUAAGUGGGGGGGGAAGCCCUUUAUACAUAAUCCCAAAUAUUAACAUGAAAACUUAAUUUGUAACUUAAUCUAAUCUAAAUAUUUUUAUAAUUUUUAUAACUUUAUUUGCUAUUGAAACUGAAUAUAAUCUAAAUAUUUUUAUAACUUUUAUAACUUGUGUCACAUUGGGGAGUUAAAAAAUGUACCCAACAUAUUCUAAUAUGACUGUAAUACACACACAGGGAUUCACAAUUAGACUACGUCCUCUCACACACAUAGAUUCGCAAAUAGGGAGAUGGAGAGAUCAAUGGACGUGCUACCGGUGCGUCGACGGGCAACGAUGGUGGGCUUCGGAACGACGACGGGCGACGACAACGACGGCGAUGGGCACGGGGGCUACGGCAACGACGACGACGACGACGAUGGGUGGAGACGGGUGACUACAAUGACUGCAAUGGGCUCGGGGGUGACGGCGACGGUGAUGGGCUCGGGGACAACAGCGACGACGAUGGGCUCGGGGGCGACGGCGACAACGACGGGCUCGGGAGCGACAGUGACAGUGAUGGGCUCGGGGCGACGACGGGCUCGUGAGCGACGGCGACGGCGACGACGGGCUCGUGGAGGAGACGCGGGCCGGCGGCGACGGGCUCGGGUGCGACGGUGAGGAAGAGAGAACGGGGGGGAUGGAAGUUGGUGGAAAUUUCGACAACUCCCACAAUAUACGAACACCUUUGUUCCGGCUGGUGGCCCCAACCGGGACCAAAGCACACCUUUAGUCCCGGGUUGUUACACCAACCGGGACUAAAGGUCAAUUUCGACAACUCCCGCACUAUAUGCAAAAACCUUUGGUUUCGGUUUGUGGCACCAACCGGGACCAAAGCCACACUUCCGAUGGCCCAAAAGGGCGGGAAGAAGAGUACUUUCGUACCGGUUGUUGGCUAGAACCGGGACAAAAGGUCCGUCGGCCCAUUUGAUAUUUUUCAUACAUUUACUGAUUUUUGUUUUGAGCUAAAUGACUCUUAAAUUUGAAAAGCACUACAAAUGAACUCUGAAAAUGUUGAAAGUUGGCAUGGUAUAAUCAUUUCACGCACAUGGCAUGUGCUAAAAAGUUGAGAGGGUUGCGGCAAAAACUAGAUGCACAUCGUGUUCAAAAGAGACAGUCUCCUUCGAAGUAUUAGGGUUUAAUACGAAAACUCAUCUGUUACAAAGGGAUUUCAUUUUUUUGAACUUAUUUGAACUCCAGACUUUUUGUGUGUUCAAAAUUCACCAUUCAAAGACACAAUAUCCAUUUUAACUAUUUCUAACUUCAUUUGGUAUUUUCAUGCAUUUAGUGAUUUGUUUUGAGCUAAAUGACCAUUAAAUUGAAAAGCAUUACAAAUGAACUCUGAAAAGGUUGAAAGUUGGCAUGGUAUCAUCAUUUCACCCACAUAGCAUGUGCUGAAAAGUUGAGAGGGUUGCGGCAAAAACUGGAUGCACUUUGUGUACAAAACGGACAAUCUCUUUCAAAGUAUCAGGGUUUCAUACGAAAACUCAUCUGUUACAAAGGGAUUUCAUUUUUUGAACUUAUUUGAACUCCAGACUAUUUGUGUGUUCAAAAUUCACCAUUCAAAGACACAAUAUCAAUUUUUAACCAUUUCUCACUUCAUUUGGUAUUUUUCAUGCAUUUAGUGAUUUGUUUGAGCUAAAUGACCAUUAAAUUGAAAAGCACUACAAAUGAACUCAGAAAAGGUUGAAAGUUGGCAUGGUAUCACCAUUUCUACCCACAUAGCAUGUGCUAAAAAGUUGAGAGGGUUGCGGCAAAAACUGGAUGCACUUCGUGUACAAAACAGACAAUCUCUUUCGAAGUAUGAGGAUUUCAUAGGAAAACUCAUCUGUUACAAAGGGCAUUUCAUUUCUUCACUUUUUCUUCUCUUGUGUUCCUUUCUUAUUUCACCGUAAGCGUGGAUAAUCUUCAUCGUUUAAUAGGGUGCUUGGGUCAGCCUUGACUUUGAAGGGAUGAAUUUCAUGAAACUUUUCAUAAUCUUCAGACAUGUCUGUCUUGCCCUACAAUCCCACGAUGUCUCUUUUUCCUAAAAGAACUAUGUGGUGCUUUGGCUCAUCGUAUGAUGUAUUCGCUUCCUUAUAUUUUCAUAUUCUCGGUUUGGUAGACAUGUCCUUCCUAUAGAAAACUGCGCCACAUCAUUGGCUAGGACGAAUGGUUCCUCUCCGUGUGCAAGAUUGUUCAGAUCCACUGUUGUCAUUCCAUACUGUGGGUCUAUCUGUACCUCGCCUCCUGACAGAUUGACCCAUUUGCAAUGAAACAAAGGGACCUUCAAAUCAUGUCCAUAGUCAAGUUCCCAUAUGUCCACUAUGUAACCAUAAUAUGUGUCCUUUCCCCUCUCGGUUGCUGCAUCAAAGCGGACACCGCUGUUUUGGUUGGUGCUCUUUUGAUCUUGGGUGAUCGUGUAAAAUGUAUUCCCAUUUAUCUCGUACCCUUGGUAACUCAAUACAGUCGAAGAUGGUCCCCUGGCCAAGGAGUACAACUCAUCAGAAACGGUGUUGUCACACAUAAGACGUUUUUGCAACCAACUAUUGAAAGUCCUGAUGUGUUCAAAUGUAAUCCAGUUGUCACACUACUCCGGGUGUAUGGAGCUCAGAAUAUUCUUGUGUUCAUCGACAUACGGGGUCACCAAGGUAGAAUUCUGUAGAACUGUGUAGUGUGCUUGAGACCAAGAAUGCCCGUCCGUACACAUUAUUGACUCCGCUCCUAGUGUGCCUUUUCCAGUCUGUCUCCCCUCAUACCGCGAUUGAGGGAGACCAUUCUUCUUAAGGUCAGGAAUGAAGUCAACACAAAGUCCAAUGACAUCCUCUGUUUGAUGGCCCAUGGAGAUUCUUCCUUCUGGCUUAACGCGGCUACGAACAUAUUUCUUUAAGACUCCCAUGAACCUCUCAAAGAGGAACAUAUUGUGUAAAAAUACACGGCCCAGAACGACAAUAUCGUCGACUAGAUGAACUAGGAUGUGCGUCAUGAUAUUGAAGAAGGAUGGUGGGAACACCAGCUCGAAACUAACAAGACAUUGCACCAAAUCACUCCUUAACCUUGGCAGGAUUCCUGGAUCGAUCACCUUCUAAGAGAUUGCAUUGAGGAAUGCACAUAGCUUCACAAUGGCUAAUCGAGCGUUUUCCGGUAGAAGUCCCCUCAAUGCAACCCGAAGCAGUUGUGUCAUAAUCACGUGGCAGUCAUGAGACUUUAGGUUCUGAAACUUUUUCUCUGCCAUGUUUAUUAUUCCCUUUAUAUUCGACGAGAAGCCAGACGGGACCUUCAUACUGAGCAGGCAUUCAAAGAAGAUUUCCUUCUCUUCUUUGGUAAGAGCGUAGCUGGCAGGACCUUCAUACUGCUCUGGUUGCAUGUCGUCUUUUUCAUGCACACGUUGAUGUUCCUCCCGUGCCUCCGAUGUAUCUUUUGUCUUACCAUACACUCCCAAGAAGCCUAGCAGGUUCACGCAAAGAUUCUUCGUCAUGUGCAUCACGUCGAUUGCAGAGCGUACCUCUAGGUAUUUCCAAUAGGGUAGGUCCCAAAAUAUAGAUUUCUUAUUCCACAUGGGUGCGUGUCCCGCAUCGUCAUUCGGAACAGAUAGUCCGCCAAGACCCUUUCCAAAGGUUACUUGUAAAUCAUUGACCAUAUCAAGUAUGUGAUCACCAGUACGGAGGGCGGGCUUCUUCUGGUGAUCUGCCUCACCUUUGAAAUGCUUUCCUUUCUUUCGACAUUGAUGGUUGGUCGGAAGAAAUCGAUGAUGCCCCAUGUACACAUUCUUCCUGCAUUUGUCGAAAUAUAUACUGUUGGUGUCAUCUAAAUAGUGUGUGCAUGCGUUGUAUCCCUUGUUUGUCUGUCCUGAAAGGUUACUGAGAGCAGGCCAAACGUUGAUGGUUACAAACAGCAACGCAUGUAGAUCAAAUUCCUCCUGUUCGUUCUCAUCCCACACACGUACACCAUUUCCAUUCCAUAGUUGUAAAAGUUCAUCAACUAAUGGCCUUAGGUACACAUCAAUGUAUUUGUCGGGUUGCCUAGCGCCUUGGAUGAGCACUGGCGUCAUAAUAAACUUCCGCUUCAUGCACAACCAAGGAGGAAGGUUAUACAUACAUAGAGUCACAGGCCAUGUGCUAUGCUUGCUGCUCUACUCCCCAAAAGGAUUAACGCCAUCUGCACUUAAACCAAACCAUGCAUUCCUUGGGUCACGUGUAAAGUUGCUUCACUUCCUCUCGAUCUUUCUCCAUUGCGACCCGUCAGCGGGUGCUCUCAACUUUCCGUCUUUCUUACGGUCUUUUAUAUGCCAUUGCAUCAACUCGGCCUGCUUUUUGUUUCUAAACAUAUGUUUCAACCGUGGUAUUAUAGGAGCAUACCACAUCACCUUGGCAGGAACCAUCUUCCUGGUGCGCUGGCCCUCAACAUCACCAGGGUCAUCUCAUCUGAUCUUAUACCGCAAUGUGCCGCAUACUGGGCAUGCGUUCAAAUCCUCGUAUGCACCACGGUAGAGGAUGUAGUCAUUACGGCAUGCAUGUAUCUUCUGCACCUCCAAUCCUAGAGGGCAUAGAACCUUCUUCGAUUCAUAUGUACUGUCGGGCAAUUUGUUAUCCUUUGGAAGCUUCUUCUUCAUUAACUUCAUUAGCGAACUAAAUGCCUUAUGAGAUACACCAUUGUGUGCCUUCCAUUGCAGCAAUUCCAGUGUGGUACCGAGCUUUGUGUUGUCAUCUUCGCAAUUUGGAUACAACCCUUGUUUGUGAUCCUCUAACAUGUGAUCGAACUUCAACUUUUCCCUUUCACUUCCGCAUUGUCUAUGUGCAUCAACAAUGAACCGACGAAGAUCAUCAUUGGGCACAUCGUCUGGUUCAUCUUGAUCUUCAGCUUCCCCCAUUGCAGCAUCACCAUAUUCAGGGGGCCGGGUAGUUGUCAUCAUCCUCUUCUUCUACGUUGUCUUCCAUCAUAACCCCUCUUUCUCUGUGCUUUGUCCAAACAUUAUAGUGUGGCAUAAAACCCUUCUAAAGCAGGUGAAGGAUUUUAUAGUCGGAGAAUUCCUUUGUAUUCCCACAGACAGUACAUGGACAAUGCAUAAAACCAUUCUGCUUGUUUGCCUUAGCCGCUUCGAGAAAAUUAUGCAGGCCAUUAAUAUACUCGGAGGUGCGUCGGUCACCGUACAUCCAUUGAAGGUUCAUCUGCGUGCGUUAUAUAACAAAGUGUAUUAAAAACUACACAAAUCUUGAUGAAAAUGGAGUUUGGACAAGGAGCUUCUAAAGGAGAAAGCUUAAGUAUGGCUCGGGCAUUUCAUUGAACACCUCAUGUGCAUAGGAGGUGAGCUAGAGCACCACAAAGCUCUCCCAUGGCCGGCCGAAAAAACAGAGCAGUGCACUUCUCUGCUCGCGAGGGUAUAUGUAGGCCAAUCGUUGGUCCCAGUUAUUGGCUGGAACAGAGACCAAAGGACAACCUAAGGUCUCGGUUCCAGCCACAAACUGGGACUACUAGUUGUGGGCCAGGAGCGAGGCACAUUGGUCCCGGUUCGUGUCUGGAACCGGGACCGAAGGUGACAAACGAACCAAGACAAAUGGCCCACAAGGCCCGGCCGGUGCCCUGGCCUCACGAACCGGGACCUAUCACCACAUAGGUCCCGGUCCAUGAGUGAACCGGGAUUAAUGGGAUUUCAUCAAGUGGACCAAAGCCCUAUUUUCUACUAGUGACAUGAAACAUUAGAUGAGUAUGCCAUACAUGGCAUCGAACAACCAAAUGGGAUGGGAAGUUCAUUACAUUGCAUCGGACAACCAAAAGACAGAGCUAGUUCAACACCGGAUUCUACUACUACUUCAUAUAUAGUCCUUCUUGUCCUUUUUAGUCUUCAUCCAAAGUCAAAGUAUCUCUACUUUGACCAAAUUUAUAGAAAAAGUAUCAACCUUCAUAAUGCCAAAUAAAUAUUCUUAGAUCCAAUGUGAAAUGUAGUUUCAUAGUAUAUAUAUUUGGUAUUGUAGAUAUAGAUAGUUUUGAAUAUAAAUUUGUUCAAAGUUUGCAAACUUUGACUUAACAGAAAUCUAAUACGCGGAGUAAAAAGGACCAGAGAGAGUACAUAUACUAUGAAAUUAUACUAGGAAAAGAGAAUACCACCGCUUUGACUUGCCAUGCCCCUUGUCAUAUCUAGGGCGGUGGUAGUACAUGGUGAAGACCGCGCGAGGGUCAUCGCCCGAUGAGCGUUAGAGUAGGAGGAGCUGGUGAUGCAGGAGGAUGGGGAGGGGUAGGGGGCGGUGAGGAGUCAGGCGAUGCAAGCCCGCUCUACGACGGGCUUUUGUUAUCGUCUUCACUUUCCGAGCCACUUCCCACUCGAUGCAUCGAUGCCCUCUCGCAAUGCCUUCACAUUUUUGCGGCAACGAGUGUUCGUCAUUGUGGAGAUCAAUGACCAGCGCAUUACUUCAUGUAAUACAUGGUCAUCGAAGUUGGGCAGGAGACCAACAAUUGUAGCGGACUAGCUAGAUCGAACCUUGUCACAAGCCUUCUGCCGAGCACGCCACACUGCCCGCGUCAAAGGCUCGGAGGACGCCACCGAGCAUCAAUUUGUUGGAGAUAUGCCAUAGAGGCAAUAAUAUUGUAUUUUGCAUUUCCAUAUUCAUAGUUAAGACUUUAUAUUCUAUGCCAUAACUGCUAGGAUCCUAGAAUAUGUGAUUCAGUGGAAAACUCAUAUGCAUGUGUGGAAUAGUAAAUGGUUAAAUAGAGAUUCACAGUGUUGCCUCUAAUACUGGCUCAAGUGUAGUGGGUGAUCUCAUUUUUUGGAUCUUAGGAUAUCAUCAUGUGCAAUGAUGAUCUUAAAACAACAUUGAGACUACGACAUUAGAACAAUGAUCAUAUUGAAUCGACCAAAUACUUGUUUGUUAUACUUUGAGAUAAUAUCUUCUCAAAUCAAUUGGUAUAACACAAAGUGUUAACAUGUGUUUUAUGUUCCUUAUACCAUGACAGUGUCGUAGUCACUUCUUAUCAUAUGCCGAGCUUUGGGGUUGCUCAAACAUCAUUUGUACCUAGGUGAUCAUAACGACAACUUACACGUUCAUCAGAAAUUUUGACAGGGGACUAGAUAGUUCGAGAGUGGGAUUUUCUCCUCCAAUGAUGGAGAGUUAUUAUUAGGGCCCUCUCCGUGUGACAAAAUCAAUCAUCAUAUGGCCAGACACAGGUGACUUAGUCACGUGGACGCCUAAACAUGAAAACGAGAAAGAAGAACAAAAACAGCAACGAGGAUAACAGUAUAGUGAGUGUGUGAUGACUCAUGAGGAUAUGGAUGCAUCUCGGGUUUAAAAGUAUCGCAAAGAAAAUUUAAUGUCACAUGGUAAUCAAAGGUUCACUCUAAUAUCAUUCAUGUGCUCAUAGGGAUCGAUAUGGACGUCCACGGUCCCGCUACCGGUCAUUGAACAAAGGGGUUUCGUUCAUGAGUUAUCGAACCUACGGGGUCACAAGACUAAGGCUAUCACAAUCUUCUGAGUGUUAGUAGUACGGGGGAGAUGAGAACAUGUUUUUGAAAUUGUUUCAUUAUUGUAUGAAAUAGUUUCGAGAGGACCCGGAAGCGUUUCGGGGUCACCAUAAGGGCCCCGGAGAGUAUCGGGUAAUACCGGCGAUUGCUGAUAAAUAAUAUAUAGGUGGAAAUGUUUUGUAGCAUGUUAAAUUAUAUAUAAAAUGGACUGAAAGUGUUAAGAAUAAUUUUAUAUUUUAUUUAAUAAUAAUGGGCCUUAAAAGACCAAGAGGUGGAAGGCAACUUGGGCCACAAGAGCCCAAUGGGAAGGUGCCUCCCUUCCCUAAGGAAGGGGGCCGAAUUGAUGAGGGGGAGGAGUUGGACUCCUCUUCCCUUGUCCGGCCAAAAGGGAGGGACUCAUUCCCCUUGUGGCGCCCUCCUUCUCUCCUCCAACCUAUAUAUACUCGAGGUAUUUGCACCUAUUGUAUACACAAGUUUUGGAGCCGCUUCUAGUUCAUCUAGUUCUAGUUCUAGUUGGUCCUAGUUGACUAAUCAGAGCUCGGUCUAGUUCCUCAAAUCCUCAUAAUUAGAAGGCUAGUGUGAUUCUAAUCUUCUCCCUCUAAUUCUCAAGUGACGAUUAGCUUUGGAUGACAAAGCGAUGUCGGAUCAUGAAGAUCGUACACUUGCAACCAAGUAGAGAGGUUGUGUUUUUGUCUUCGGUUCGAGGGAUUGUUCAUCUAUGAUUCAAGGAACUCCAAGCUUGGUCUUCAUCAUCACGUUCUUGUUUUGCUCCUACUCGGUGAUGGUAACGGUCGUGAUCCCAACCAUUAUUAUAUCUUCAUAGUGUUCCUCGUUGCUUGCGUGGCGUUUUUUGUUUUCUACUAUGUUUCCCAACACCAACAAUGCCCAAGAAUGCAUGCUGGCGACAACACACCAUAUACACAUGAGCAGCGUCGGGACACCAAGGACGGUGUGGAGUGCCUUAACUAACAACUCCAUUCACCCUAUCCGCAACUUGGGACGGUGCGAAGCUCAAAGAGUCUCCAUAGUCAACCCACGAGCGGUGGAGGGCCAGCUACUCGUCGGACAAUUAGAGCUAGAAUCCUCCGCCACCACCAUAUCCCAAUCAAUGGGGCUUAAUCGGAUCUUGAUCCACUACCGGAGCUGUAUAUGGUGGCUUGGGAUGGUGAGGACUAGAUGACAAGGAGGGAGUAGAGCAAUCGAGAGUGAGGGCUAGGGUUUGGUCCGGGUAGGAUAGAGUGGGGUUUAUGUGGUGUCAGAGUGGGACCAAUAGGGGUUGUUUUACGUGGUGUGUUACACAAUCUCGGGUCCGCUAACACCAGCCUUUCCGACCCACAUGCAUCAACAGGACAAACAGGAGAGCAACACCGACUUAUGACAGGCCUGGGGCCCUCUCCCCCCAAAAGACUAGCCUUUUAGGAGGGGACACCCUCACCCUUAUAAGUCGUGUUAUGUCUCCUCCCACAACCAAUGUGGGACUAAACCCAACAAUCUCCCCCUCACACAUCGCUCACCCAUGGGCCCGCUAAUACCAGCGUCUCCAGCCCACCUACCAUGACCGACCACCCGUGAGUCCACCGAGAUUUAUUCUGGGCACCUGGGCUCUGAUACCACUUGUUACACAAUCCCGGGUCCGCUAACACCAGCGUUUGCGACCCACAUGCGUCAACGGGCCCAACUGGAGACGUUCUCUUCGUACAAGUCUGGUGAUUUUGGUUUAGCCUAUAUGAGCGAUGACACUGGUUAUCGUGUUGUACAUCGGUUGUGGGAGGAGAAGUUACACGACUUAUAAGGGUGAGGGUGUCCCCUCCUAACAGGCUAGUCUUUUGGGGAGAGAGGGCCCAAGGCCUGUCAUAAGUCGGUGUUGCUCUCCGGUUGGGCCUGUUGACGCAUGUGGGUCGGAAACGCUGGUGUUAGCGGACCCGAGAUUGCGUAACAAGUGGUAUCAUGAGCAAGGUUACGACGAGGUCGUUGUGCAUUGAUCUAGAGGAUGAAGAACAAUUGGAAGCAGUUGGAUCGAAAGCUUUACGGCGGAAGAAUUGCGAGGCUACGAAGUAGAUCGGUCAAAAUAUCAGUCGAUGAUGUGGCAGCGACGUGUGGUCGUUCGUCGUACAAGCGACAUCUCGAUUGGCUGGGCUUUUGGCGUACAUGCAAGUCGCGCGUGGUGUUGGGAGAGGCCCAGGUGCAGCGAUAUAUCUCCUGUCAAAUCGCGCGUGGCGUUGGCAGAGGCCCAGGUGCAGCGAUAUAUCUCAUGUCAAAAAGCUAUCAUACAUAGCAGCAUAAUUAGAUUUGUUUGGAAACAAAAAUUAACAAGACCGAGUCCUGGAAGAACUCGUGUUGGACAGGAACCUGGAGGUGCGCUAUUAUAUAUAGCCGCAAGGGCCGGGCACCUGAUGUGACGAAAAUAACAGCAGAUCAACCGGCAAAGAAAGUCCAUUGAUACGCAUUAGUACAUCGGAAAGCAUCAGGCUUUGGCAAAGCAAUUAACAUCAAGCGUCCAGAUUUGUGCUUUCGAGUAGAUCACGUGGAAGGCCAAUUUAUUUUGGUGGAUUGCUACUAGUGCACAGAGGCGAGACCAUGUGGGUUUUGCUCGUGCACUUCAGCAUCACGGGGAUAACUCGGGUAUUUUUUCACACAAUCAGCCGUACAAAGAACCAUGGCGCCAGUGGGUACCAGGUUUGAGGUGGAGAAGUUCGACGGGACUGGAAGCUUUGGGUUAUGGCAGACAAGGGUGAAAGAUUUGUUGGGAGAACAGGGAUGCUUGAAGGCGUUGUUGCAGGAAGCCAAGCCAGCUAAGAUGGAGGCUGAGGACUGGGAGGAGUUACAGUUGAGGACAUCUGGAACUAUACGGUUGUGUCUGUCGGACCAGGUUAUUUAUCAUGUGAUGGAUGAGAAUUUGCCGAAGAAGAUCUGGGAGAAGCUGGAGAGUCAAUUUAUGUCCAAGACUGCUACGACCAAGGUGUAUCUGAAGCAAAAGUUGUAUGGGAUGAAUAUGCGGGAGGGGUCAGAUCUUGUGGAGUAUAUGAACGCCUUUAAUCAAGUCGUGAUAGAUCUAGCACGCUUGGGUGCAACGAUUGACGACGAGGAUAGGGCAAUUCUGCUUCUUUGUUCAUUGUCAUCAUCCUAUGACCAUUUGAUCACUACUUUGACGCAUGGCAAGGAGACUGUCAAGAAUGAGGAUAUUACUGCAGCCUUGCUAUCUUAUCAUAUGAGAAAGAAGAAUGCAGUGGAAGUCUCUCAUAGUGAAGGUUUGCUAGUCAAGGGUGAAGCGUAGCGAAAGGGAUAUGAGGCAGGGAAGAAAAAGAAAAGAAAAUAAAAUACAGUGUCACAAGUGUAAGCAGAGGGGACAUAUUAAAAAGGACUGUCUAGAGCUUAAUGGUGGGUCAAGUGCUAAUAUGACAAUUCAUGGUGAUGACUCAGACAUCAGUAGUGAUGCCCUUGUAGUAUCAGACAAGCGGUCAACCAAAAGUGAAGCGUGGAUGUUGGAUUCAGCUUGCUCUUUUCAUGCGACACCCAACAAGGAGUGGUUCUCUUCGUACAAGUCUGGUGAUUUUGGUUUAGCCUAUAUGGGCGAUGACACUGGUUAUCGUGUUGCUGGAGUAGGUGACAUUAAAAUAAAGAUGUUUGACGGAGUUGAGCGGAUGCUUCGGGGAGUCAGGCAUGUGCCGGGGUUAAGGAGGAAUCUAAUUUCGCUUGGAGUUCUUCAUGAUGGUGGUAUGGUAUUCCGUUGUGAUCGGGAUAAUAAGACCAUGGAAAUCAUGGAAGAUAAGGUGACUGUGAUGAUUGGAGCGAGGAAAGCUUCACAUCUUUACAAGUUGCAAGGAAGCACUAUUGCAGGUGGAGUCACGGAGACUGGAAUUGCAGGAGUAGCAACAGGAUCCCACGGAGGCGGCGGGUCUGGGGAAGAAUCAUCGGGUAGCUCUCGGUAAGCUACAAAGAAGACAACACAAGUCCGGAGUACACGGAAGUUUGACGCAUGGACACAUUCAAAGGGGUGAAGAAUAUUCGCCAAGGUGGAGUUUGUUAGAGUUGUGUCGAAUAUUGUGUACGAGUUGGGUUACAUAUGGACUUGGUGUUGUAGUUUGGGUAGGAUACAUGUAGUGUUGUAGUCGGACAUGUUGUACCCUUGGCCUCUUAUAUAUGAGGAGGCACCCCACGUUGUAACCUAUGACUACUAGAUAGCGACAGGCUCGCAAGGGGGGAGCCGGGGCUUGUGCCGACGCCCGGGUGGCCGGUGUUGCGGUAUCUCGGGGAGGAGCGCCCGUAGUCAUUGCCCCGGGGAGUAGGCGAGUUCGCCGAACCUCGUUAACAAAUCUCGGUCUCGUUAUUGUGCUGUGAUUGUUUGUCCCUCGGUGGAUCGACUACGUACCUCGGAUUUAUUCGUAACAUGGUGGACGUGUCUGCGCAUGUGUGAGCCGCCCAAAUCAGCUACAGAUAUGAGCUGAAUUUGAGGGGCGUUGAACGAUCGUGAACAUUUAGGCUCGAUUUGAAGGGUUAACUUGGACGAGGUCGAGAAGUCUCAACUUGAGUAAAGGAUUUAUAAAUGUUGGGUUAUCCAGAGUGUCCACGUGGAUAAAUAAAGGGAAUAUAUAGGGUCUAACGGAGAUCAUCUUUGAGACACGAAAGCAUUUCAAAACAUAGAACCAGACAACCAACAUUCAAGCCAACUCCAACGCGCUGAUGCAUUUGAUCUGCACAUGUCCGUAUAUGCCGAAAUGGACAGAAGCGACGUCUCAACAUGUUGACGCAUCCACAAAUGUGGUCCGCUCAAUGACCGUCUCGACAAAUAUCAGGAUCAAAUUUGCGGCCGAUUUGCAUCCACAAAGAGAACACAUGUCAUCUUUGUGUCCGUUCUAACUCGCAUGUUGGACUACCAACCAAUGCCCAAUCAUUGUGAAUGCAAACCAACCAUCUUAGGCCCGCUUGUCACCGACACGAAGAAUCCAGUCCACGUUCUUUUAAAUGGCCAUGCGUGCUCCCUUUCUGGCCGACACAAACCCUAGCCUCUGUCGUCGCCAUGGGCUUCGUCAUCCACAAGCAUGACCAUGAGGCUCGAUCUUCACGUAGCCCGGCCAAUUUAACGCUGGCGUCGGGAUGGGGGCGAUGACCAUGCUACCGACUCUACAUUUCGGUGCAUUGUGCUUAGUACCAAUGGGAGUACUGUGUCCAAUUGUCAUGGCUGAACAUCAACCUUCUACACAGUUGGCAUCUCGACAGCCAUUAGAUUCCGGUGACGGUCGUGCUGCAGUCUGGGCAUGUACGUGCAGUAGAGAUCUGCAACCUCCAUGCUCUUAUCGUGCCGGAGCAACACCGCGACCCUGCAUACAUGCUCGACUCCCUGAAUUGGGACAUCUAAUUCACGGUUGAGCACGCCAUGAGCCGUCGUGGCGUCGUCUAGAUCGACGAUCGCCCCCAUCGCCAUCGUCGAUGGAGAAGGAGGACGACAAAGAGGUGGCCUACCAAGCGGCACUGGAGGAGGCGAUCCAGCGCGCCAUCGAGGAGUCCAAGUGUGUGAAGGAUGCUCGGUGACCUAGCCUCAAGGAGGCGUUGCAGCAUUCGGUGGCCGGUGAGAACGUCUAUCCACUACGACCUUCAUCACCACCGCCAUCGUCCGCACCCGCGCCCAUGCUCGAGACGUAUCAAUGGGUGGGCGUUGUGCCCAGGUAUAUCUCUAGGUCGCCAGUUUGGCUAUGCGUGAUGGAGGAUGGGGAGCGAUAGUACCUUGCGCAGUGGGAGGGCCGCGCGGUGGUAUCAAAUUGGGCAGACUUGGAGCAUCCGAUGCAAUCAUUGUGCAAGGAGGAGGCCGAGCGGCGCGCGCAGGAGGAAAAGAUGCAGUGUCACGCAACGCCGCCACCGCCACCGCGUCAGCAAACGACACUGGCAGCCUACCAGCAUGCUUUCCCAUGGGCGGCGUUGCUGAGUACGUCGACCUAACCAUGGAGGGCAAGCAUGACGACGAUGAUGCCUAGGGCUGCGGGCUGGGGCACCGAGCGCAUGAGAGUGGUAUUUUUAGUUUAAAUAUUUUUUGUUUUAAUUAAUUAUUAAGUGGGCUUCGACCAGCAUUCCAAUAUGCAUGUUUUAUUUUAAAAAAUUUAUGCCUAUUGAGUUGUUUGUAAGUUGUGGCGUCGGCCAAAUGCUUUGGCCACAUUUGGGCGCCCCGAUGGCCCAAGGCCACAAUCGAACACAUUUGUCCGCUCGAACGACUCAAACAAGCAAAAAACAAAAAAUAUGUGUCUAUUUGCGCGUGGGUGGGGAUGCACACGUCUCGCAAUGCCUGGGCGACAGCCGGAGAAGUACAAAGACGAUGCCGGAGGAGGAGGAGGAUGAGGAUGCACUGCAAGAGGGAGUUGGGGUCGAGUGAAAGAAAAGUGACCCGAGAUGAGAAUUCGAGUGGAUCGGGGGUGUCGGAGUCCCACGUCAUUGCGGUUCAGAAUACCACAAAGCUCCCCAAUUUUGUGAUCGGUUUACAAAAAAUUAGACAAACGAACGCAUCCACGCACAAAUGCAUGUGUGUUGAAUGGCAAACUACACGGUUCAAACGUAUGUGGGCGUUUUGAGGGUCUACUUGAAGAUGCCUCGAGUGUUCUUCCUUUAUUUGUUCGGACCUACCGUUAUAAUUUUUCUGAAUAGAUGUUUCAAAAAUCUGAAAAUAAAUUAUUUGUGUUCACUAGACAUUUGUCCACAACCCUAUGCUUUGAGUUUGGAUCUGUAUUUCUGAAGAGCUGCGUACACAUGUGUGGUGAACAUUCGCGAUUAUUUUCUGAAUAUUUUAAUUUGAAUUUUUAUAAUUUGGAAGUAAGAGUGACACCUGAUACACUUAUACGACAUUUUCCGUGGCGGGGGUACCCAGAAUACGUGUCACCCGUUUCAGCCGUUAGCAAGCGUCGGUGCUGCCAUUGCCGACAGUCGACAUCUGGGGUUCCCUGUUCAGCAGGUAAUUAUCACAUUCAGAGGAAGGACACGUAUCUCCACGUUAUUGGCUAGUGCUUUCUUUCAUUUUUCUUUUUUGCAUAAAUCCACUUGCGAUUGUGACCACAAGAGCUUUAGCUGAUUCCAUAUCUGCCACUUUAUCUUAAAGAGGUAACCCGCUGAGAUUUGUGCGAACAAAGUUCAUUUCGUGACUGCGGUUCUUCACGGUCAAGCACUAAAAAAAGGGACAGAUAGACAUUAACACUGUCAGCCUGCUCUUAGUUCAAGUACCUUUACGAAGGAUUGUUAUAGAAAUUUGGAGGAUCAAAAUCAUAAGAAAUUUUUCUGUGUUAUUCGUCUGAUUAGUAGAAGUAAGUUUCAUAGGAAUUCUCAGGCAGCACUUUACACUAAACGAUUUUAAAAUAAUUUGUAUCCACUCAAAGCUCUUAGUAAUAACCAUGGAUUAGAAAGACUACGUUCAUUCUUAUCCUACACAAAAAUGAUUGUUAUCCUACACAAAAAAACUGAACAAGGUUAGUCUGUCUAAUACAAAAACUUCUAUUUUUCUACAACACUCAAAUAGAGAUUGAAGUGUGCUACUAUUUUACAUUACAAUUUUCUCUUCCCCUGUCUGUCUUAUUAUAUCCGAAGAUAUUUUCUUCUCCACUACCAAACUCAACCACACAAGUAGCUUUCCCUCUUGUCGCCGAUCCCAUCCACACCUUCCUCCACCUAUAAAAUCGAACCCCUACCAUCUAUCCUCUUCACUCCCUCUGCUACUAGCCUCACCACUCUUAAGCGACAAAAGAUUGUUGCUACCAGCACCUAAGCUUGAAUGGAGGGUGAGAAGAACUCGUCCGGGGACCUGAUGUCCAGCAGCAAGCUGGUCGCGGAGGCCGCCAGGACAGCCUACGAGAAGAAGAGCGUCGAGGGCAUCGACAAGGAAAAGGUAGCCGCCGCCUCCGCCGAUAUCCUGGACUCCGCCGCCAAGUACGGCAAGCUAGAGGACAAGCCGGUGGGCCAGUACCUCGAGAAGGCCGAGGAGUACCUGAAACAGUACAGCUCCGGCGGUGCAGAGAAGACUGAUGCACCUGCUGCCGCUGACGCACCGAAGCCGGAUGCACCCAAGGAGCCAGCGCCUGCGCCUGCACCUGCACCCGCCGUGGAGGAAGAGAAAUCGUCCGACGGGUUCGGUCUCGACGACGUCAUGAAGGGGGCUGCAUCGCUAUCAGGGAAGAAGGGUGACGGGGAGGAGAAGGAGAGCGGCGGCGGCGGCUUCAUGAAGAUGGCUCAGGGGUUCAUGAAGUAGAAGUCGGGUUUCUGCUUCUACUACAUGCAUGUAGCUCUUGCUAAGUUCGUGCGCUGCGUUCCUUUUUUGUAUUUUAUUACUGUAUAAAAUAAUAACGUCGUGGUUGCG
Molecule: long non-coding RNA, 32320 nt
Filed under: Hordeum vulgare
Lineage: Eukaryota; Viridiplantae; Streptophyta; Magnoliopsida; Poales; Poaceae
Description: long non-coding RNA (HVUL_LNC006854)
Source: RNAcentral